RNAcentral lists this long non-coding RNA (302 nucleotides) under Solanum tuberosum (potato). RNAcentral describes it as "long non-coding RNA (STUB_LNC009288)". Lineage: Eukaryota; Viridiplantae; Streptophyta; Magnoliopsida; Solanales; Solanaceae. The record is from RNAcentral.
UUUGAUGCAAGCUAAGCUUCCACUGAAGCACUUUCUUUUCAAAAUCACCAUUAUCAGCUGGCAUGGCAUCACUAUUAUCAUGUGAAUUACUGGUACUAGUUGCACACUCUAUAGGUUGCCCAUCAUCAGAUGCUAUGGGUUGCCCAUCAUCAGAUGAUAUGGGUUUCCCAUCAUCAGAUGCUAUAGGUUGCCCAUCAUCAGAUGUUAUAGGUUGCCCAUCAUCAGAGACUAUAGCACUAGUGAUGAAUUUUCCACUGCCGAUGACAGGCACUAUCUUUUGACAUUCAGAUUUCCAUGCAGCA